AUUGAACGCUGGCGGCAUGCCUUACACAUGCAAGUCGAACGGCAGCGGGCCUUCGGGUGCCGGCGAGUGGCGAACGGGUGAGUAAUGCAUCGGAACGUGCCAUUGAGUGGGGGAUAACGUAGCGAAAGUUACGCUAAUACCGCAUAUUCUGUGAGCAGGAAAGCAGGGGACCGCAAGGCCUUGCGCUCUUUGAGCGGCCGAUGUCAGAUUAGCUAGUUGGUGAGGUAAAGGCUUACCAAGGCGACGAUCUGUAGCGGGUCUGAGAGGAUGAUCCGCCACACUGGAACUGAGACACGGUCCAGACUCCUACGGGAGGCAGCAGUGGGGAAUUUUGGACAAUGGGGGAAACCCUGAUCCAGCAAUGCCGCGUGUGUGACGAAGGCCUUCGGGUUGUAAAGCACUUUGCGGACGAAACGGACGCUUUCUAAUACAGAGUGCUAAUGACGGUACCGCAGAAUAAGCACCGGCUAACUACGUGCCAGCAGCCGCGGUAAU
RNAcentral lists this ribosomal RNA (495 nucleotides) under uncultured bacterium. RNAcentral describes it as "bacterial SSU rRNA". It matches the Rfam family "Bacterial small subunit ribosomal RNA", at positions 30 to 524 of the family's 1533-position model. The record is from RNAcentral.